UACGAAGGGGGCUAGCGUUGUUCGGAAUUACUGGGCGUAAAGGGUUUGUAGGUGGCUUGUUAAGUCAGACGUGAAAUCCCUCAGCUUAACUGGGGAACUGCGUCUGAUACUGGCGAGCUUGAGUGCAGGAGAGGAACGCGGAAUUCCAGGUGUAGCGGUGAAAUGCGCAGAUAUCAGGAGGAACACCGGUGGCGAAGGCGGUUCUCUGGGCAUUACCUGACGCUGAGGAGCGAAAGUGUGGGGAGCGAACAGG
Molecule: ribosomal RNA, 253 nt
Filed under: uncultured bacterium
Lineage: Bacteria
Description: partial 16S ribosomal RNA
Rfam family: Bacterial small subunit ribosomal RNA
Source: RNAcentral